GGCGGACGGGUGAGUAAUGCUUAGGAAUCUGCCCAGUAGUGGGGGAUAGCCCGGGGAAACCCGGAUUAAUACCGCAUACGCCCUUUGGGGGAAAGCAGGGGAUCUUCGGACCUUGCGCUAUUGGAUGUGCCUAUGUCGGAUUAGCUAGUUGGUGGGGUAAGAGCCUACCAAGGCGACGAUCCGUAGCUGGUCUGAGAGGAUGAUCAGCCACAUCGGGACUGAGACACGGCCCGAACUCCUACGGGAGGCAGCAGUGG
RNAcentral lists this ribosomal RNA (257 nucleotides) under Thalassiosira punctigera. Its description in RNAcentral is "partial Bacterial small subunit ribosomal RNA". It matches the Rfam family "Bacterial small subunit ribosomal RNA", at positions 97 to 357 of the family's 1533-position model. Lineage: Eukaryota; Bacillariophyta; Thalassiosirophyceae; Thalassiosirales; Thalassiosiraceae. The record is from RNAcentral.